RNAcentral lists this ribosomal RNA (519 nucleotides) under uncultured microorganism. RNAcentral describes it as "bacterial SSU rRNA". It matches the Rfam family "Bacterial small subunit ribosomal RNA", at positions 9 to 515 of the family's 1533-position model. The record is from RNAcentral.
GAGUUUGAUCGUGGCUCAGGAUGAACGCUGGCGGCGUGCCUAACACAUGCAAGUCGAACGGAGUUUAUGAGGAAGAAGCUUCGGCGGAAUUCUUAUAAACUUAGUGGCGGACGGGUGAGUAACACGUGGAGAACCUGCCUCUUACCGGGGGACAGCAGUUGGAAACGACUGAUAAUACCGCAUAAGCGCACGAGACCGCAUGGUCCUGUGUGAAAAGAUUUAUCGGUAAGAGAUGGCUCCGCGUCUGAUUAGCCAGUUGGCGGGGUAACGGGCCCACCAAAGCGACGAUCAGUAGCCGGCCUGAGAGGGUGAACGGCCACAUUGGGACUGAGACACGGCCCAGACUCCUACGGGAGGCAGCAGUGGGGGAGUAUUGCACAAUGGAGGAAACUCUGAUGCAGCGACGCCGCGUGAGUGAGAAGUAUUUCGGUAUGUAAAGCUCUAUCAGCAGGGAGAAAGACCUCGAAGAGGGGAUGACGGUACCUGAGUAAGAAGCCCGGCUAACUACGUGCCAGCACG